This is a small nuclear RNA of Salvia hispanica, 197 nucleotides long. RefSeq annotates it as U2 spliceosomal RNA. The record is from RefSeq and is a predicted model, not a curated record. Lineage: Eukaryota; Viridiplantae; Streptophyta; Magnoliopsida; Lamiales; Lamiaceae.
AUACCUUUCUCGGCCUUUUGGCUAAGAUCAAGUGUAGUAUCUGUUCUUAUCAGUUUAAUAUCUGAUAUGUGAGUCAUUGACUCACACGAUAUUAAAUUUAUUUCUUUUAGGGGGAAGGUUUGUUAAAGUAGCUUGCUACUUGAGCCUUCGUGUGUCGCCCAUGUGUUGCACUAUUGCACGGGCCUGGCACUCCCCAC